AGUGAACGCUGGCGGUAGGCCUAACACAUGCAAGUCGAACGGCAGCACAGUAAGAGCUUGCUCUUACGGGUGGCGAGUGGCGGACGGGGGAGGAAUACAUCGGAAUCUACUUUUUCGUGGGGGAUAAAGUAGGGAAAAUUACGCUAAUAACGCAUACGACCUACGGGUGAAAGCAGGGGAACUUCGGACCUUGCGCGAUUGAAUGAGCCGAUGUCGGAUUAGCUAGUUGGCGGGGUAAAGGCCCACCAAGGCGACGAUCCGUAGCUGGUCUGAGAGGAUGAUCAGCCACACUGGAACUGAGACACGGUCCAGACUCCUACGGGAGGCAGCAGUGGGGAAUAUUGGACAAUGGGCGCAAGCCUGAUCCAGCCAUACCGCGUGGGUGAAGAAGGCCUUCGGGUUGUAAAGCCCUUUUGUUGGGAAAGAAAAGCAGCAGGUUAAUACCCCGCUGUUCUGACGGUACCCAAAGAAUAAGCACCGGCUAACUUCGUG
Molecule: ribosomal RNA, 492 nt
Filed under: uncultured bacterium
Lineage: Bacteria
Description: partial 16S ribosomal RNA
Rfam family: Bacterial small subunit ribosomal RNA
Source: RNAcentral